GAACGAACGUUAGCGGCGCGCCUAACACAUGCAAGUCGAGCGAGAAAGGGCUUCGGCCCCGGUACAGCGGCGCACGGGUGAGUAACACGUAGGUAAUCUACCCCUGGGUGGUGGAUAACCUUCCGAAAGGAGGGCUAAUACAGCAUGAGACCACGAGUCCGAAAGGACAUGAGGUCAAAGCCGGCCUCUUCACGAAAGCUGGCGCCUGGGGGAUGAGCCUGCGGCCCAUCAGCUAGNGGUAGGGUAAUGGCCUACCAAGGCGAAGACGGGUAGCUGGUCUGAGAGGAUGAUCAGCCACAC
Molecule: ribosomal RNA, 300 nt
Filed under: uncultured bacterium
Lineage: Bacteria
Description: bacterial SSU rRNA
Rfam family: Bacterial small subunit ribosomal RNA
Source: RNAcentral